GACGAACGCUGGCGGCGUGCUUAACACAUGCAAGUCGUACGGUAAGGCCCUUUCGGGGGUACACGAGUGGCGAACGGGUGAGUAACACGUGAGUAACCUGCCCACAACUUUGGGAUAACGCUAGGAAACUGGUGCUAAUACUGGAUAUGUGCUCCUGCUGCAUGGUGGGGGUUGGAAAGCUCCGGCGGUUGUGGAUGGACUCGCGGCCUAUCAGCUUGUUGGUGGGGUAGUGGCCUACCAAGGCGGCGACGGGUAGCCGGCCUGAGAGGGUGACCGGCCACAUUGGGACUGAGAUACGGCCCAGACUCCGACGGGAGGCAGCAGUGGGGAAUAUUGCACAAUGGGCGCAAGCCUGAUGCAGCAACGCCGCGUGCGGGAUGACGGCCUUCGGGUUGUAAACCGCUUUCAGCAGGGACGAAGCUUUUUGUGACGGUACCUGCAGAAGAAGCACCGGCUAACUACGUG
RNAcentral lists this ribosomal RNA (465 nucleotides) under uncultured bacterium. RNAcentral describes it as "partial 16S ribosomal RNA". It matches the Rfam family "Bacterial small subunit ribosomal RNA", at positions 28 to 507 of the family's 1533-position model. The record is from RNAcentral.